UACAGAGACUGCAAGCGUUAUUCGGAUUCACUGGGCGUAAAGGGUGCGCAGGCGGCCGUGUGUGUCAGAUGUGAAAGCCCGGGGCUUAACCCCGGAACUGCGUCUGAAACUACACGGCUAGAGCAUUGGAGAGGGAAGUGGAAUUCAUGGUGUAGCAGUGAAAUGCGUAGAUAUCGAGAGGAACACUCGUGGCGAAAGCGAGCUACUGGACAUUUACUGACGCUGAGGCUCGAAGGCUAGGGGAGCGAAAGGG
RNAcentral lists this ribosomal RNA (253 nucleotides) under uncultured bacterium. RNAcentral's name for it is "partial 16S ribosomal RNA". It matches the Rfam family "Bacterial small subunit ribosomal RNA", at positions 524 to 776 of the family's 1533-position model. The record is from RNAcentral.